CUUUCGAUUUGAGUUCACUGACCUAUGACCUUGAAAUUCAGGUCAAGGUUGAAGGUCAAGGUCAUAUUUUUAAUUUUUAAUUUAGCUUGUAAUCUAUAUUCAAAAGAAACGGUAACAGUUAAUUAUAUGAUGUGUUUUCUAAAUAACUGUUUACGAUAAGGCCCAACUUCAACCCUUUUAAGUCGAAGUGUUUUGGUCAACCCUUAUAGGAG
RNAcentral lists this long non-coding RNA (212 nucleotides) under Mytilus galloprovincialis (Mediterranean mussel). Lineage: Eukaryota; Metazoa; Mollusca; Bivalvia; Mytilida; Mytilidae. The record is from RNAcentral.